UACGAAGGGGGCUAGCGUUGCUCGGAAUCACUGGGCGUAAAGCGCACGUAGGCGGAUUGCUAAGUCAGGGGUGAAAUCCUGGAGCUCAACUCCAGAACUGCCUUUGAUACUGGUGAUCUUGAGUCCGGGAGAGGUGAGUGGAACUGCGAGUGUAGAGGUGAAAUUCGCAGAUAUCAGGAGGAACACCGAUGGCGAAGGCAGGUCUCUGGGCAUUAACUGACGCUGAGGAGCGAAAGCAUGGGGAGCGAACAGG
RNAcentral lists this ribosomal RNA (253 nucleotides) under uncultured bacterium. RNAcentral describes it as "partial 16S ribosomal RNA". It matches the Rfam family "Bacterial small subunit ribosomal RNA", at positions 524 to 776 of the family's 1533-position model. The record is from RNAcentral.